Long non-coding RNA from Gadus morhua (Atlantic cod), 833 nucleotides. RefSeq lists it as uncharacterized. The transcript has 3 exons. NCBI's taxonomy places the organism in Eukaryota, Metazoa, Chordata, Actinopteri, Gadiformes, Gadidae. The record is from RefSeq and is a predicted model, not a curated record.
UCGUCAGACCAGUGUAUGUUUUUCAGAUCUCUUGGCAGAGCCAUCCUGAUUGGUGCAUUCCUGGACAAGGUGAGUCCACAGGUUUUGUAUAAAAGCAGGGGCCCCAAGAGCAGUAACCCCACCAACGAUUCCCAUCGCUGCCGAAGAACACAACCAGUGAUCAACCUUCAAGACAUGGCUCAAGGUAGGAGAUACACAACCUCCCACUUUUAAGGUUUGGGUUAGCCAUCGGACUUUGGACUAACAUAAGGGUCUUUUCAUUACUCAUCCAUAUCUAGACUUGGUUUUAUACGUCUACUACUUGCUCCUUAUGCUUUUCCUUGUGCUGUUGAAGUGAACUUUAAACUGACGGUGACUGCUGAUGGCAAUACUGUUGAAUACAAACCUUCUACGGACUGCAACCAGCAACUUGUGUGGGCGUUGAAUGAUUUGAAAGAUUCCGUCUCAAACUUCAGUUUCGAAACUGGAGGCAGAUUUGGAUUGCCACCCUAUUUGACCCGGGUGACUUUUGGUAAUAAUAUUAAGACCAAAACUGAGAACAGCUUCUGGCAAAUUCUGGUAAAAAACCACAACAUGAUCACACCUGUUGGACUCUACAACUACGUUGUCCAGGACAGUGACGUGAUCAUCCUGCGCUACAUGGCCGUGUGAUCCUGACUGUGGCGCCAUCUUCCUGCAGGGUCCUGAAUUACACUGAGUGCUGCUCGACACUCAAAACAUGAUGAUUAUUUAGUCUGAAUUAUAUUAAAUGUAACAAAUAUGUUGAAUUGAACAUAGAUAGUAAUUAAUUGGAAGUGAAAAAUAUAAUGGAAUAAAGGACUGCAAUUAUCUCA